CACAUGCAGUCGAGGGGAACGACAUCGAAAGCUUGCUUUUGAUGGGCGUCGACCGGCGCACGGGUGAGUAACGCGUAUCCAACCUGCCCACCACUUGGGGAUAACCUUGCGAAAGUAAGACUAAUACCCAAUGACGUCUCUAGAAGACAUCUGAAGGAGAUUAAAGAUUUAUCGGUGAUGGAUGGGGAUGCGUCUGAUUAGCUUGUUGGCGGGGUAACGGCCCACCAAGGCGACGAUCAGUAGGGGUUCUGAGAGGAAGGUCCCCCACAUUGGAACUGAGACACGGUCCAAACUCCUACGGGAGGCAGCAGUGAGGAAUAUUGGUCAAUGGACGAGAGUCUGAACCAGCCAAGUAGCGUGCAGGAUGACGGCCCUAUGGGUUGUAAACUGCUUUUAUAAGGGAAUAAAGUGAGAGUCGUGACUCUUUUUGCAUGUACCUUAUGAAUAAGGACCGGCUAAUUCCGUGCCAGCAGCCGCGGUAAUACGGAAGGUCCGGGCGUUAUCCGGAUUUAUUGGGUUUAAAGGGAGCGUAGGCCGGAGAUUAAGCGUGUUGUGAAAUGUAGAUGCUCAACAUCUGAACUGCAGCGCGAACUGGUUUCCUUGAGUACGCACAAAGUGGGCGGAAUUCGUGGUGUAGCGGUGAAAUGCUUAGAUAUCACGAAGAACUCCGAUUGCGAAGGCAGCUCACUGGAGCGCAACUGACGCUGAAGCUCGAAAGUGCGGGUAUCGAACAGGAUUAGAUACCCUGGUAGUCCGCACGGUAAACGAUGGAUGCCCGCUGUUGGUCUGAAUAGGUCAGCGGCCAAGCGAAAGCAUUAAGCAUCCCACCUGGGGAGUACGCCGGCACGGUGAAACUCAAAGGAAUUGACGGGGGCCCGCACAAGCGGAGGAACAUGUGGUUUAAUUCGAUGAUACGCGAGGAAC
This 924-nucleotide ribosomal RNA is filed under the name uncultured bacterium. RNAcentral's name for it is "bacterial SSU rRNA". It matches the Rfam family "Bacterial small subunit ribosomal RNA", at positions 52 to 969 of the family's 1533-position model. The record is from RNAcentral.